GCCGCGGCGUCACCGGGAGCGGCCGGGAAAAGCCGGAGAAACAAAGAACAUGGCGAGGGGAGGAGGAGGAGCUUACGCCGCCCCAGCCGCUGGGAAACGCGCUCGGGGGGCGUACAAUGCCCGCCGCGGGGCGGGUUCGCUUCUCUCCGCCCCCUUUCCCCGCCCUUGUGGCCGGGCUGGCGGGGGGCUGGGGCGGAACGGGACGGGACGGGCUGAACGGGACUGGAUUGGACUGGAGGUGGCCGUCGGGAGUGGGGCCGCUGUUUCGCCCAGAGUGGGAAAGUUGUGCGGGAUCCGUCCAGGCACAACUUCAGGACAUGCAAGAGAACUUUGGAGUGAACUGGCAGUAAGCUUUGCAGUACCAUGGUGGCAAUAAUACUGGCUGUCCUCUGGAGAUGCUGAUGCUCAGCAUUAUUUUGAACUUCUUUCUUAGACCCUCCAGCUUGUUCACAAAGGACUUAAAACUGAUUUGGAUUCAUAUGGUCAUGGGUAUGGACUUUUUCCUUCCAUUACGUGACAUCUGCAUGUUUCCAGCAGUCGGUGAUGAAGUCAGUAAUAGGUCUGCUGACAUUUGGUCUGUUCUUGGGAGCUCUGAGUGACAGGUAUUGUAAACAUCCUACACUCUCAGCUGUGGAAACUAAGAAAGCUGGGAGAAGGCUGUUUACUCUCCCUGCCUUGGAAAUCGUCUGGAGGGCAAGGACAGAAUAUUAUGUUGAUUGUAUUUCUGACAGCCUGUAUUUCAUACUGUACAUUAUGGUGUCAGUAAACAAAUUAUGUCAUUACGUCACAUCAUCAAUGUCUUGUGUUCAGACCAAGGUCAGAAGGGCCUUAUGAUAUGCUCCAGCUGUACUGCUGGCUUGAGGGAAACUUAAAUAGUAGGAACAAUACACUGCAGUACUUCCAUCCUUAAACAGUGAUCAGAAAAUACCUGUUUUGUUUAUAGGUAGUGAUACAUAAAAGUUGCAGUGUGGACAUCCUCAAAUUGACACAUCAGUAUUGUGUUAAAUGAAAAUCACCCUUAAAUGGUUGGGACUUGUUUUCUAAGAUCUACUCAAUUCUCAUUUUCUACCCAAAAGAGCUAGAAGCAGAGGUUAGAAGGCAAAGACAUUGUAGGGGAAUUAAAAUUUCAGUUUCUUUUCAAAGAAAAUCAGAGGUGUCAACAUCAACUGCAACUCUAAAUUAAAUUGGGAUACAAAAGUCUUAUACCGCAUGUUUUCCACUCAGUGCUCCCUACCACUUGCUCCCUAGACUGUAUUAUACUUUGUGCUUUGUCCUGGCAAUCUUUCUCUUCUUCCUUUGUGUUUCUUUCAUUCUAUAUGCUGUAAGACAAGUAGAACUUAUCAGUUUAAAUGUAGAAUAAGCUGAAAAAGUAAUUUUCCUUUUAAAUCUAAUAUCCUGCUGGCAUGGUCCUAAAUACAACUAAAGUGAGAUUUGCAACUUUUAAGCAGGGACUCUGGCAGAAAGAAUAUUGUUUCCCUCUUUUGUUUUUCCUUGUUUAUGGGGAAGGGACACCUUUUGUGCGCUCAGAGAUCACUGUCUAUUUUCUUUUGCAAUAGCAUUCUUACAUCUUGAGAUCCUACUGCUUCAGCUUUUUAGAAAAGGUAUUUAAAUAUAAAAUCUUUGAAAAAAGGGCUUUUAGGAGAGUUUAGUUUUCAGGGUUUGGAAAGGGAUGGGAGUGGGAAAACAACUGGUAAAAUACUGUGUAAGGAUUUGAAGUAGUAUUUACACAAAAGUACAAAAAAGAAUUCAAACUUUCAUGCAGAACAUUAAAAAGUCAGUUAUUUGAAGUAAUAGGUUUUUUUUGUGCUCUGGCUUGCUUUCCUAUUGGAGGAAGCAGUAAGAGGGAAAGCCAGG
Long non-coding RNA from Onychostruthus taczanowskii (white-rumped snowfinch), 1854 nucleotides. RefSeq lists it as uncharacterized. Lineage: Eukaryota; Metazoa; Chordata; Aves; Passeriformes; Passeridae. The record is from RefSeq and is a predicted model, not a curated record. The transcript has 2 exons.